RNAcentral lists this ribosomal RNA (250 nucleotides) under uncultured bacterium. RNAcentral's name for it is "partial 16S ribosomal RNA". It matches the Rfam family "Bacterial small subunit ribosomal RNA", at positions 524 to 773 of the family's 1533-position model. The record is from RNAcentral.
GACGAGCCUCACAAACGUUAUUCGGAAUUACUGGGCUUAAAGGGUGCGUAGGCGGCGCGGAAAGUUGGGUGUGAAAUCCCUCGGCUCAACCGAGGAACUGCGCCCAAAACUACCGUGCUCGAGGAAGAUAGAGGUGAGCGGAACUUACGGUGGAGCGGUGAAAUGCGUUGAUAUCGUAAGGAACACCCGUGGCGAAAGCGGCUCACUGGGUCUUUUCUGACGCUGAUGCACGAAAGCUAGGGGAGCAAAC